CCUACGGGCGGCAGCAGUGGGGAAUAUUGCACAAUGGGCGCAAGCCUGAUGCAGCCAUGCCGCGUGUGUGAAGAAGGCCUUCGGGUUGUAAAGCACUUCAGCGGGGAGGAAGGCGGUGAGGUUAAUAACCUCAUCGAUUGACGUUACCCGCAGAAGAAGCACCGGCUAACUCCGUGCCAGCAGCCGCGGUAAUACGGAGGGUGCAAGCGUUAAUCGGAAUUACUGGGCGUAAAGCGCACGCAGGCGGUCUGUCAAGUCGGAUGUGAAAUCCCCGGGCUCAACCUGGGAACUGCAUUCGAAACUGGCAGGCUAGAGUCUUGUAGAGGGGGGUAGAAUUCCAGGUGUAGCGGUGAAAUGCGUAGAGAUCUGGAGGAAUACCGGUGGCGAAGGCGGCCCCCUGGACAAAGACUGACGCUCAGGUGCGAAAGCGUGGGGAGCAAACAGGAUUAGAUACCCGUGUAGUC
Molecule: ribosomal RNA, 464 nt
Filed under: uncultured Klebsiella sp.
Lineage: Bacteria; Pseudomonadati; Pseudomonadota; Gammaproteobacteria; Enterobacterales; Enterobacteriaceae
Description: bacterial SSU rRNA
Rfam family: Bacterial small subunit ribosomal RNA
Source: RNAcentral